Molecule: ribosomal RNA, 441 nt
Filed under: uncultured bacterium
Lineage: Bacteria
Description: bacterial SSU rRNA
Rfam family: Bacterial small subunit ribosomal RNA
Source: RNAcentral
AACGCGAAGAACCUUACCGGGGCUUGACAUCCUGCGCUAACCUAGGAGACUAGGUUUCCGGGCAACCGGACGCAGAGACAGGUGCUGCAUGGCUGUCGUCAGCUCGUGUGGUGACAUGUUGGGUUAAGUCCCGCAACGAGCGCAACCCUUGUCCUUAGUUGCCAGCAUUCAGUUGGGCUCUCUAAGGAGACUGCCGUGGUUAACACGGAGGAAGGUGGGGAUGACGUCAAGUCCUCAUGGCCUUUAUAUCCAGGGCGACACACGUGAUACAAUGGACGGUACAGAGGGAUGCGAACCCGCGAGGGGGAGCUAAUCUCAAAAAAGCCGUUCUCAGUUCGGAUUGGAGUCUGCAACUCGACUCCAUGAAGUUGGAAUCGCUAGUAAUCGCGGAUCAGCACGCCGCGGUGAAUACGUUCCCGGGCUUGUACACACCGAGACGUA